Macaca mulatta (Rhesus monkey) is the source of this 5001-nucleotide non-coding RNA. The record is from RefSeq and is a predicted model, not a curated record. NCBI's taxonomy places the organism in Eukaryota, Metazoa, Chordata, Mammalia, Primates, Cercopithecidae.
UGGGAAGAGACAGAGUAUUUUGUCUAAUUUCAAGUUCAAGAAAGCAAGGAACACAAACGUUAAGUGGCUGGUGUCCAUUUAUUCAAGUAAAUUUAUUCAGAAGUUGAGCCAGAAAUAAAGAUCAAGUCUCCUGGCCCAUGCACUAGGCCCCAUGCUGCCUCACAGCUUUCAAAACCAUCAUUUUCUUGGGAAAUGCUAAAAAGCUUUCCCCUACCAUACAUACUAGAUUCAGACACACUGCCAUCUACUGACCCACCAAAGGAUGUGCCAGCAUAAGACAUCCUGACCUUCAAGGGAGGGAGGAACACCUUGAGAGGAGUUGAGAUCCUGCUUUCUCUUCAGAAUGCCAUCUCCAGGAUGCCAAUGGGUUGUGUCUACAGUACUAUGUAGGAAAGUGCUGCAAGAGGUCAUGAGACCUUCAUGUGAGAGCUGCUCUCCCUGUACCUUGAGGAAAGAAACCUCUUUCUCUCUGAAGAUGAACAGUCACAGAGAAGUAUCUGAAUAAACACGUCUUACUAACUUUCCCCCAGUUUAUUAUUAUUAGAUCACACCCCCUUUGUCCAGUAUAUCCACUUUUCAUCAAACCUAGUAUAAAAUACAGUUGACCCUUGAACAACAUGGGGGUGCUACGAGCACUAACUCACUACACAAUAGGAAAACAGCAUAUAACCUUUGACUCCCCCCAACUUAACUACUAAUAGCCUACUGUUGACCAGAAGAAGCCUUGUCGAUAAUACAGAUAGUUGAUGAACAUGUAUUUUGUGUGUUAAUGUAUAAUACAAUGUAUUAUUACAAUCCAGUAAGCUAGAAAACACAAAAUAUUGUUAAAAUCAUAAGAAAAUACAUUUAUAGUACUGUAUUUGCUUAUGCUGUGAGUUUACCUCAUGUGUUUACAAGAUGAAUCGUCUGUCUGAAAUGAUGAACAAAGGCAGCUGCAGACCUCUAUCUAGAGCACAUGUCAAGCAAUUCAACUUUUGCUUAAAAUUCUAUGACUUUUCUCCACUUCUUAGGGGCACCUCCAGCAGCACUAGUAGCGCUAGUGGCACUUUGCGUGGUUCCGUUAUUAAAGAUUCAAGGUAUUGCACUAAACAAGAUGAAAAAUACACGAGAACUGCAAAACAUCACUUUGUACUGCAAUAUGCAAUUUACUGGAGAGAUCAACUGCUCACUGGAAGAUGAUUCACCUCACCUAGCAUUUUAAGCAGAUACAUGCAACACUUAUUAAUAAGAGGAGUUGACUGCAAAAAUAUUGCAGUAGUACAAUAUGUACUACACAUAAUUUAUGCAGUUAUAAUUUAAUAUCACAUUUUUAUGUUUGUUUACAUUUCUCUCUACUACAUACAGCUGUGCUACAUAUGGUCUGUAAGUGUGAGCAUAAGUUUUGGUAAGUUUUACUUUUUGCAAUAGAUUUGUGUACAUUUUGUGAGAAUUGAUGAAAUAUACUAGUAUCUACGUAUGAUUUUUUUCAUUUUUGACAUAGCUUUUCUUUUGUUUUGACAUUUCUAGACUAUGCAGUUCAUCUGGGAGUUUUCCAAAUUCUUGCAAAUCUCUAAAAAGUUUUUUAAUACGUUGGUUGAAAAAAUUUCCAUGUCUAAGUGGAUCUGCACAAUUCAAACUUGUUCAAGAGUCAAUUUCAUACCCAAGUUUAACUGUUUAUUUUGGUUUUCAUAUCCUUAUGAGGAUUCCCGUGUUAUGUAAAAUAUAUUACAUGGUUGUAGGUAUGUGCUCUACCCUGAGAAGAACAUAGGCCAUUUGUUUCCACCCACGAGUCUUAGUUUUUAGAUAUGCAUAUGCCAACCUGAGAGGUACUGAACUAAUGUAGCCAUGCUUUGUGUGUUCUAGCCCUGUUUGAAAGUUCUUUUUUGUCUAAGGAAAGGAAAACAAUUCUCAGAGAACUCAUCUAGAAUAACAUCCCUGUACUUUCUUAUGAGAAAGAGAAAGUUGCUUGUUGAAGCCUUUGGAGACAGAAGUUUUAAGGUGCUAAGAAAGAAAAGUAAAUACCAAGGAACACAAGUGCUGGUUCACAUGGUAACAAUAUGUUUAGAUUUGUAAGAGACUGUCAAACUGUCUCCCAAAGAGGCAGUACCAUUUUGCAUUCCCACCAGCAAUGAAUGAAGAGUUCCUGUUUCUCUGAUCCGUGGGGAUGCUCCUUGACUUACGAUAGGGCUAUGUCUGGACAAACCUAUGUUGCCACCUCUCUGCUUCAUAUCUGCAGCUGCAACUCUACCCUUGAACUCAUCUUUAAAACUACCCAGAGACAAAGACUGUCAACAGCUUUAGAGCUUUACAACAGGAUCUUCCAAGUGCCCUGAGAACUCAUGAUGGAGCCAAUAGAAAUAAAUCAUACAAAACAAAGCCAGCCCCUGGUGGGAGGGAUGCUUAUAAAACAACAUAAACAAGAAGAUUCUGAAAAAAAAUUGUAUGGAAGGAAGAAGAGAUGAGAUAAUGGAAAUGAACUCAAAAUAGCCCCAGUUAAAAUACUUACAGUAAAAUAUCAUUAGUACUACUUGAUGUUGGUGAAAGGCUCUAGACCCAAGUCAGAAGGCCUGAGUGUUUGCUGUAAUUUCUUGAACAAAUUAUGUAAUUUUGUUGAGAUUCAGUUUUCUUUUCUAUCAUUGGGUAACAAUAACUUCUCUGGGAUGUCAGAGUUAUGAUGUGAAGUUAAAAUAACUAAUAAAUGGGUAAGCCCUGAAAAUUUCAUAGAAGUUUGUGAAUGAGAGCAUCUUGUAAAUACAGUACCUGAAACCGUAAGAAUUAAGUCUCAGCUUGAGGAAUAUCGGAUACUAGGGCAGGCUAAUGGGACAAAGGUCUCAUUGAUCUGCCACCUUCAGUCACACUGAAAUGGGGCUAUAUUUUUUAUUUACUUACCUACCAGUACUGCCACCAGUCAAAAUAGUACUACUUUCCAAGUUAUUUAACUCUUUUAGGAUAACAGAAAAAAGAUCCUUUCUAGUUUUCAAGGCAUAGAUUCAAUGAGUAAUACAGAUUUCUAUCACUUGGUGAACACGUAUCAAUUUCCCUGAUACCACUAAAAAUUAAAUUUAAAAAUGCUAUUUGAUACCUUCUUUAAAAACUUGUUUGUUUGUUUGUUUGCUGAAAUGGCAGGGAUUCAAGUCAAGGUAAUUAGAUUUACGGAACAACAUAGCAAGAGCUCCCAAUUUCAGUAUUGUGACAGGUCCAUUGAUAAAACCUGCUCAGGCAGAGACCAAGUUAGAAAGAAGGAUUAGGUUAUUAUUCUAGUUCUCCUGAGAUAAAGGAAAUAUUCUUAAAAACGUGAAUCCAUCCAUCCUCUUUUAAGAGGUCAUUAGUUUCUUUCCUUAUUAAAAUGAGCACAAACUGAACAUGCAUAGAUUGAUUCUCUCCAUUCAUACUUAGCCUGCUACACAUUGUAACAGAAUUUUCUACACAUUUUAACAGACACACAUUUUCUACACAUUUUUGACAGACACAUUUUAACAGACAUUCUCAAUGUGUCUCUCUGACUUUAUGACAUCAGAGGAAGCAGUCUUCAACCUGCUAAAAAUGUAAAGAAAAUGUAAUGUCUACUUACAAACUUAACAAGAAUAUCAAUGACAACUAUUUUACCAAUAAAUUUAAAGAUCUGGAUACUUCACAUAAUAGCCAGUAGCUCUUUGAUAUAGAUAUAAAGCUAUAUAAUCCAUAAUUUCUUUAUUUUAUGUUUUCCUGAAGUAGUUAUUGAGCACCUAUUGUGUGUAAAGAGCUGGAAUGGACAUAAGAAUACAGAAUGGCAAUACGUUCAAAGAAUGCCAAGUACCGGAAGAGGAAAGAUGGGAUCACUCUUCUAUGCUGUGCUGGCCCAGACCCAGCCCUCUCCAGCCAGGAAACAUAAAAUACAGAAAGUCAUAAAACCCAGAAGUUUGAUUUGGUACCGUAAUGCCAUCACCCAUGGAGUGUAAGUACCAUAGGGUAAUGAGUUAGCUCUGCUCUAUUUGCUGUUGUAACCUGGACCAAGAAGAUGUAUGGCACACACUCCAAAGUCUGUUGCCUGGUGAUUGGAUAGAAGCUGGAAUGUACUGGCAGAUCUAUUGUGGCAAGAAUGUGCAAAAUCCCUCUACAUGGCAUUUUGCACAAGAUUUGAUAAGAAAAUAUGGGGAAUUGCUCACUGGGGAUGCUAUUUUUUUUUUUUUCGCCUGUUCCAUGCAAGCUCCAUUUAGAAGCCUCUAAGAACUCUAAGACUGGGGUCCAAAGCAAAUAACUAUAGCACACAACAAUCCACCCCUCAAAACAUAUCUUUUCCUCUAAUUUUUUUGUUGUUGUUUACGAUGUUUCACAUAAGAUGAUCACACCACAUCAAUUAUGAUGAAAACCUUUGUUUGGGGGGUCUUGGAGGAAUUCCUCAGAAGAUCAAUCUUUUAAGUAAAAAUAAAGAAAUAUGUACAUAUAAAUAUGCCAGUUUCAGAUAUUAAUGUCAUUGAAAUAAUGGCCAUUGAUUUAUUUAUAUAGACCCUGUUACAUUAUUUAGUGUUAUCUUGGUGCUUUUAUUCAAACACAUUCUUUGGUUCUCUAACUAUUAAUGAUUCUAGAAGUUAUAUGAUCCAUUCUAUCCCCUAGCUUCACAUUAUCUUGUUAUAACCUUCAGCAACUAAUUUCCACUUUUGCAAUCAUUUGACUCCCAUCCCGACCAGCAGAGAAAUGUGGGAAAGAGUAAGAGGAUGCUGUGUUCCGGGGAAUGCUAAUUUCCUGGCUUGGUUUUGCCACCUGCUACCUAUAUGUAACCUUUCUGAGGCUCAGUUGUCAUUUGUGUAAUUGGGUAUAAUAACGCUUCACAGAGUUAUAAGGCUAAAAGAUACAGUACUUUGGAAAUUGCUUUGUAAAGUUCUGUGAGAGCAAAAGGCAAGAAAUUAUUAAGGCUCUUAAUGUCAAUGCCAGUCUAAUGACUAUGUCUGUUACUUCAUUUUUGGUGAUAUUGUCUUAAUAUUGAAAGUCAAUUAUUAAAUUAAUGUAAGGAAUAAACUUUAUAAAAUGAAGAUAUGGAUUUCA